RNAcentral lists this long non-coding RNA (562 nucleotides) under Mus pahari (shrew mouse). RNAcentral's name for it is "RIKEN cDNA 0610012D04 gene (MGP_PahariEiJ_G0002814.1)". The record is from RNAcentral. Lineage: Eukaryota; Metazoa; Chordata; Mammalia; Rodentia; Muridae.
GGCAUUUCUGUGUCAAGCACACAGCUUGUGGGUGCCUCACAGCCUCUGGCCCACCACGAUCCCAAAGACAAGUCCAGAAGCCAUGACUAUCUGUGGAGAACCCACUAUGUGCUGUGGAGUACCCACUAUGUGCCGCACCAGCUGUUUCCACAGGCAAUGAAGGUUCCGAUAAACUCAGGAGGCCUCAGGACAAACCCUAGAUGACUUCCGUCUAUGAGACAAGAGCAUACAAUUCCUGUCUCUAGUUGCAAGGGAAGCCGUGCCCUUCCUUGGGCUCAGUGGCUCCUUCAGCAGCUGAGCACCCUUGGUAUGUGUCUCUGGAGUCAAGGGCUGGGUUUGGCUGGCGAAACCCACUCCAUCCCUCAAACAACAGAGUACAGCUUGCCUCAAGUCCCCGGAAGCGUGGGGAUAAAAGAACCGUGUUACCAAGUCCGACUCCACUUCUAUCUCCGCUCUGCAACUAAUUUCUUUGUGUCUUUGACGAGUGUGUUCUGCUCGAAGCAGGUCUUAGCCUUAAAGGUGUACAUACGUUUGUAAUUCUCGAACCCAUUUGAAUUUCACC